UCAGUCAAUGUAGAGACACGCUCUGUGUCACAAAGAACUGGCUGUCCGCUGAUACUAAAGAAGAGCGUAACCUUUGGAUGCAAAAGCUCAACCAAGUUCUUGUCGACCUUCGCAUGUGGCAGCCCGAUGCCUGCUACAAACCUAUUGGAAAGCUUUAAACAAUGUAAGGGAAAUAUUGAGAAAAUACCUGAAAAAAUCCCAGGAACUGCAC
Non-coding RNA from Tinamus guttatus (white-throated tinamou), 211 nucleotides. Lineage: Eukaryota; Metazoa; Chordata; Aves; Tinamiformes; Tinamidae. The record is from RefSeq and is a predicted model, not a curated record.